GUCGAGAUCACUCCCAACCCCAAUGUGAACGUUACCAAUCUGUUGCCUCGGCGGGAUUCUCUUGCCCCGGGCGCGUCGCAGCCCCGGAUCCCAUGGCGCCCGCCGGAGGACCAACUCCAAACUCUUUUUUUCUCUCCGUCGCGGCUCCCGUCGCGGCUCUGUUUUAUUUUUGCUCUGAGCCUUUCUCGGCGACCCUAGCGGGCGUCUCGAAAAUGAAUCAAAACUUUCAACAACGGAUCUCUUGGUUCUGGCAUCGAUGAAGAACGCAGCGAAAUGCGAUAAGUAAUGUGAAUUGCAGAAUUCAGUGAAUCAUCGAAUCUUUGAACGCACAUUGCGCCCGCCAGUAUUCUGGCGGGCAUGCCUGUCCGAGCGUCAUUUCAACCCUCGAACCCCUCCGGGGGGUCGGCGUUUGGGGAUCGGCCCCUCACCGGGCCGCCCACGAAAUACAGUGGCGGUCUCGCCGCAGCCUCUCCUGCGCAGUAGUUUGCACACUCGCACCGGGAGCGCGGCGCGGCCACAGCCGUAAAACACCCCAAACUUCUGAAAUGUUGACCUCGGAUCAGGUAGGAAUACCCGCUGAACUUAAGCAUAUCAAAAAACCCGAAGAAAA
Molecule: ribosomal RNA, 610 nt
Filed under: Trichoderma longibrachiatum
Lineage: Eukaryota; Fungi; Ascomycota; Sordariomycetes; Hypocreales; Hypocreaceae
Description: eukaryotic LSU rRNA
Rfam family: 5.8S ribosomal RNA (bases 222-375)
Source: RNAcentral